CCAAAACAGAGAAUCUUCUUCUUUGUCAGAAGGUUUACCUUUCAUGAAAGAGCACGGAAGAAGAAAGGAAUGACAGUAAGACUGAAUUAUGAACUCUCAGAAGUUGAGAACAAGAACUGAUUGUAUUGUGAAAGCUAAAUUCCCUGCUCUUGAUUAACACUGGGCCACAGCAGUCAGUGGUGAUCGCACGCUGGCGAUUGCUGAAGCAGAUGUAGUGUGCACAUUGCUAGUGCAGGUUAGAAGAGA
Non-coding RNA from Tinamus guttatus (white-throated tinamou), 246 nucleotides. NCBI's taxonomy places the organism in Eukaryota, Metazoa, Chordata, Aves, Tinamiformes, Tinamidae. The record is from RefSeq and is a predicted model, not a curated record.